ACGUGACGUUGUGACGUGACGUUGUGAUGACAUUGUGAUGACGUUGUGAUGACGUUGUGAUGACGUUGUGAUGACGUUUUUGUCUCGCAGAGGCCAAACCGCUCGACACUUCUGGAAGCGGAGAAGAGGGAGAAGAGAGCCCUGGAGAGGAAACGGUCGGAGAUGGAGGAGGACCUCAAGAGUCUCCCGGACCUCAAGGCCGACAAUCAGCGACUUAAGGACGAGAACGGAGCGCUCAUCAGGGUCAUCUCCAAGCUCUCCAAGUGAGGGGCCACGCCCCCUCGCAGCCACGCCCCUCACGGCCACACCUCCUCACGGCCACGCCCCCGCACGGCCACGCCCCCUCACAGCAACGCCCCCGCACGGACGCGCACAGACACACACAGACACACAGACACACAGAUAGACAC
Non-coding RNA from Petromyzon marinus (sea lamprey), 410 nucleotides. The record is from RefSeq and is a predicted model, not a curated record. NCBI's taxonomy places the organism in Eukaryota, Metazoa, Chordata, Hyperoartia, Petromyzontiformes, Petromyzontidae.